Microcebus murinus (gray mouse lemur) is the source of this 126-nucleotide small nucleolar RNA. Its record names the gene SNORA63. It matches the Rfam family "Small nucleolar RNA SNORA63". From Rfam's summary of the family: E3 belongs to the H/ACA class of snoRNAs and is involved in the processing of eukaryotic pre-rRNA and has regions of complementarity to 18S rRNA. Lineage: Eukaryota; Metazoa; Chordata; Mammalia; Primates; Cheirogaleidae. The record is from Ensembl.
ACACAUGUACCGUUACAAUAUAACUGAAGUGUUUUAUUGUUGUUAUCCCUGCUUAUAGCGUUUGGUACAUAACUAUUCUGUCUAAUUCCAUCCCAUAGGAAGACAGAUGUGCUCGCUCUUAAAUAU